RNAcentral lists this ribosomal RNA (461 nucleotides) under uncultured bacterium. RNAcentral describes it as "partial 16S ribosomal RNA". It matches the Rfam family "Bacterial small subunit ribosomal RNA", at positions 338 to 795 of the family's 1533-position model. The record is from RNAcentral.
CCUACGGGUGGCUGCAGUGAGGAAUAUUGGUCAAUGGGCGCAAGCCUGAACCAGCCAAGUCGCGUGAGGGAAGACGGCCCUACGGGUUGUAAACCUCUUUUGCCGGGGAGCAAGCCUGAGCACGUGUGCCCAGGCGGAGAGUACCCGGAGAAAAAGCAUCGGCUAACUCCGUGCCAGCAGCCGCGGUAAUACGGAGGAUGCGAGCGUUAUCCGGAUUUACUGGGUGUAAAGGGAGCGUAGACGGUGCGCCAAGUCUGGAGUGAAAUGCCGCAGCUUAACUGCGGAACUGCUUUGGAAACUGGCGAACUAGAGUGCGGGAGGGGUAAGCGGAAUUCCUAGUGUAGCGGUGAAAUGCGUAGAUAUUAGGAGGAACACCGGUGGCGAAGGCGGCUUACUGGACCGUAACUGACGUUGAGGCUCGAAAGCGUGGGGAGCAAACAGGAUUAGAUACCCGAGUAGUC